Molecule: transfer RNA, 77 nt
Filed under: Caudoviricetes sp.
Lineage: Duplodnaviria; Heunggongvirae; Uroviricota; Caudoviricetes
Description: tRNA-Lys
Rfam family: tRNA
About the family: Transfer RNA (tRNA) molecules are approximately 80 nucleotides in length. Their secondary structure includes four short double-helical elements and three loops (D, anti-codon, and T loops).
Source: RNAcentral
GCGUCCUUAGCUCAGUUGGCUAGAGCAUAUGACUUUUAAUCAUAGGGUCUUGGGUUCGAGUCCCAAAGGUCGCACCA